This is a long non-coding RNA of Apodemus sylvaticus (European woodmouse), 576 nucleotides long. RefSeq lists it as uncharacterized. NCBI's taxonomy places the organism in Eukaryota, Metazoa, Chordata, Mammalia, Rodentia, Muridae. The transcript is spliced from 3 exons. The record is from RefSeq and is a predicted model, not a curated record.
GUGGUGGGCGGGACAGUUAAAUCUCGGCAGAAAUCAAGGCACCUACUGGAACUGCAGACGUAGGUGCCAAAGGGCACCUUUCAGUGCCCAAAGGAAUCGAGAAAUUAACUACACAUUGAAUGUCCAAGAAGAGGAAAAUCCAUUAUGCAAGAAUCUUCAUAAAUAUAUUGAGAAAAAGAACAAUCUUUUACCCUGUAAAAGAUUGUUCACUACCCACCCCUGCUGCUUCUGAACUUCAUGAGACACACGGAAGGCAACGGACAAACUACUCCGAGGGCUGCAUGCGCUGCUCAGAAGUCAGCAGCUCUCUGCACGGCUGUGCCAAGGUGCCAGGCUGCUGGAACAGCCACAGCUCCGACCCUGGGUCUGGAACAACUGGAAGCAUUAAGAAAAUCACCACACUGUGCAAUGGAAACUCAUCUUAAACCAUGAAACCGGGACUAUGAGAUGCAUACAUGUACAUAUGUGUGUAAAUACUGCCCCCAAAAUCUCAAAAUUAUGUUUACCAUGUUUGAUAUGGUCUGAGAGUUUUGAGUUUUGACUGUGUUGCUUUAUUUGUUAAAGUGUCGUGGUGUG